Molecule: precursor RNA, 683 nt
Filed under: uncultured Cercozoa
Lineage: Eukaryota; Cercozoa
Description: partial 18S ribosomal RNA
Rfam family: Eukaryotic small subunit ribosomal RNA
Source: RNAcentral
AAUAGCGUAUAUUAAAGUUGCUGCAGUUAAAAAGCUCGUAGUUGGAUUUCUGGCUUGAAACAUUUUGCCGGCCACGGUUUCGUGUGUUAGUGCUUGAUGUUCUGGCCAUCCUUCCAAUCGCUGCUUUACUUUUCUUCAUUGAUUAGUAAAUGUGGUAUUGGAUCUUUUACUUUGAAAAAAUUAGAGUGUUUCAAGCAGGCUUUAUGCUAUGAAUACAUUAGCAUGGAAUAAUAAUUUAGGACUUCGGUUCUAUUUUGUUGGUUUCUAGGACUGAAGUAAUGAUUGAUAGGGAUAGUUGGGGGUGCUAGUAUUCAGCGGCCAGAGGUGAAAUUCUCGGAUUCGCUGAAGACUAACUUAUGCGAAAGCAUUCACCAAGGAUGUCUUCUUUAAUCAAGAACGAAAGUUGGGGGAUCGAAGACGAUCAGAUACCGUCGUAGUCUCAACCAUAAACUAUGCCGACUAGGGAUGAGUGAACGUUGCAUUUUUCGACUUCAUUCGCACCUUAUGAGAAAUCAAAGUCUUUGGGUUCCGGGGGGAGUAUGGUCGCAAGGCUGAAACUUAAAGGAAUUGACGGAAGGGCACCACCAGGAGUGGAGCCUGCGGCUUAAUUUGACUCAACACGGGAAAACUUACCAGGUCCAGACACAGUAAGGAUUGACAGAUUGAAGAUCUUUCUUGAUUCU